GACACCUGCUAAUGCUGAACGCAGACGGGCUGUGGAAAGUACAGCAAAUUAAUCAGUUGAGAGCCUGUCUGAAUUUCUGCAUGUACUGAAGAUACAAAAUGAACUUGUAUCUGUAUGUAGCUGUAGCCAUACCCAGCAUUUCAGGGUUAUAAAUAUGAGAAAUAUUUGGGGAGUUCUUCCAUGCAUGUAGCAUCUUUGAAAAAUAAAGUGGGGAGGUGAGAACAUUCACAAAAAGGAAUGAAUUUGCAGUAGAAGUAAAAAAGCAGGAGAAUAAAGCAGGAAAUCUGGGAGAGAUGGAAGGGGAAAAAUUGGACCUCAAAGGAAGAGAAGAGAAAUCUGCUAGAAUUCCGCUGAGAGCAAGAUGGGCUGUUACUUUAUGUAAGAAAGGCAGAGGAACUUCAUACAGCAAAAAUGUUACAUACCUACAGUCAUCCCUCGGCGGUCUGUCAGGCUUCUACGCAAUUGGCACAGCACAAGUAGAGCGGAACCCUUUGGAGUGCCCGCUUACUAGAGCUGCUCAUCACAGAAGUCCCGCUGACGUAUGCUUCACAGAAGACUGUAGAAGUGAAACUUCACAUCAGCAAAUUUUUUUUCAUGAAUUUUAAGAUCUAUUUAAAGUUCCACAAGUGACGCAUCGUUAUAUCUGAGUUGAUGGUAUGGCCUUCUUUGUGCUGCUGUCCUCUUCGAUAUCUGGCCCCUUUCCGUUUCCUGGUAAUGCUGGAGUAGAGUUAGGGGGAAAAUCAGAGGUGAAGUUCAGAAUCAUCUCAAGCAGACACCGUUGUAAUGUAUACAAGUUAGCUUUGUAUAUACGUUACAUGGAGAAUUACACAUUCCUGAGUAGUUAUAAUGCUGGGUGAGGGAGCUGCCUGCUCAGGGAGGCUCUGUGCUGCUCAGCCAGAACAGAUUACCGUCCUGCCUGCUGGUUAUCACGCUGUCCUUAGAAUUCUGCUAAGAAUUGUAAAAAAUUAAACUAAAAUGUAGUAACUCAGCUUUGUUCAGAAUGUCUCAUAUGCCAUGGGACACUACUGAUAAAGCCUAGAAGCAUAAUUUUUGCACCAUUUGUACUCUAUUUUUCCCUCUUAUAAAAUGCUUUUUGCCUUUUUUCCCCCCCGCUAACAGUCAUGAAUGGUUUAUUUAUAAACGUUGGAUGUCAGCUUUUCACCCAAGAUUUUCAUUAAGACAUAACUUUAACACAUAAUUUUUUACACUCUUCCUAGAUAAGUAAUGUAAAACCCAUCUAAAACUCUUUCAUUCCAUGCAGUCAUUUCCUUGUAUGUUAUAUCAUCUGUCUGAAAAUUAUGCCACUAGAAAUGAGUCUUAAGAGCCUGGAGUUGGUAAGCACUGAGUGUACUUAGUGCCUUGUUUGCUAGUUCAUUCAUAGACAGAUGAAUUAUGAUGGUAUCUGCAAUUCCUUCAGCUUUGCUGUAUUCAUUGUAGUAUCAGUCUACGUUAAAUUCCCUCUAAUUAGCCUAGUCCAAGUGCAGACUGAAGAAAUACCGCCUAUGAAAAUUUACUGAAUUACUGUAAAGCACGACUGUGUUGGCAGCUGACAAUAUCUGCUCACUCCCCUGCAAGGCCAUCCAGCUGGAAUAAAAAGGUAGGAGUUUGGCGUGGGUAUGGGCAGUUAAUCUAAAACUCAGUUCUGCAGUGAAGCCAAAACUGAAAAUCUUUGGUUCAUGGAACUUGAAGCUUGUAUAUAAUAUAUACACUCAUUUUAGUAUCGUUUUCAAACCACUCAUCUACAUUUGAUGCUAAUUGGUACAGUCAGGUUUGUUGAUGUAAACUAUCAGACCCUCUGUGUUAUUCUCAUCCUUUGCUUCCUAGAAAGUAAAUAUGGGAGAAAGUAUUUCAGCUGGUAGUGCAUGCAUAGUCUGAACUCAUCUUUAGUGCAGCAGAUUCUCGGGGUAAAUCAUCACAGCAAGAAAAUACAGAGAACCACAUAUAAAGUGCUUAGGCUGAGUUACUUUUUAUAACGUAAGAUUUUUCAGUCUGAGAGAUAAACAGCAUAGUGAAAUGUAAGCUGGAGAAUAUAUUGUAGUGAGACAGAAUUACUUAUAUAACAUUAUUAUCACGAGGCCAGGAGGAAGGAGGUGAGCUGGAGAGCUUUGUGGAGGGAGAGCGCUUAGAAAAAAAAAAGGGAGGUCAGUCGAGGUAACACACAGCACUCCUGAGGAAGAGUACAGGAUCAGCAGUGGUGAUACCAUCGUGCAAAAUAGGGAGGAGAAGCUACAGAUAAUCGCUGCUGAGAAGCUGUUACUGUUCUGGUUGCGUAGAUAUGGUGUAGUUUCUGUUCUAGGAGGUUUAUCAGACUUGCACAGACAUUCGUUAGAAUGGCAUCUUUUCAUAUGAAGGAAAAAUGUAUUUUUCCCCAUUUAACUGGUCAAAUGAUUGAUUUAUUAUAAUGUCACAGAAUAUACUGAGAAAUAGAAAAUUCAAUUAGCAAAUCAGGAUGGAAUGAAGUGUUUUCUAAGACGGGUUGUGUGUCACUGGAGUUAUGGGGACAGUCAGUAGCAGAAGAUAGACAUGCAAGCAGCAUGAAGGUACUCUAUGCAAGUGCAGAGUAUCUGAUUUGUGCUAGAUAAGACAGUAACGAUACACCAGGUACUUCAAGAUAGCUUGCUUACAAAAAGAGUAUUGCAGAGCCUGGCCAUUCAAGCAGCACCUGCGGGCAGCAGGUUGCUUUGCCUCCUCUCAGGUUACCACCAUUUCCUAGUGCCUGAGCGUGGGCCCCUCCUGGCUCUUUCAUGGUAUAAACAUCUCAUGAGUCCAGGAGGCCAUAUGGACCUAGAGGAGAUGCACUGGUUUUGGUGAGCUGUCAAGCUAGGAGUGUAUGCAUUUAGGAGGGCUGAUUGUGUUGGAAGGAAUAGUGCUGCAUCCUUACUUGAAUGAGACUUUCUCUGUCUGUACAGAUACACGCAGUCCUCACAGCUGCUGGGAUCUCGUGUGAUCUGUGGUAUUGAUUGAUUGGAUAAGUGCUGGAGCACUUCAGUGGCACACAUACACAGAGAAUCCCUCCUGUCUGGCUUGCCAGAAUGAGUGGCUUAAAUCUGUGACAAGAGGAAGCAGAAAGCAUUCUCACAUCUCUGCCUUAUCUCAGAGCGGCUCAGUGACACCAGAACAAACCAGUCUGGAAAACCCCAUAGCUGCAAGAGCUCCAUGAAAAGAACGAUCACUGCUUUCCUAAACAAGGAGUGCUAACCAGGUUUGAUUAAAAUGCAUGGUGGCUAUUCUCACACUGCCACAGUAAAACUAGCUCCUGAGAGAAACAAAUUUUCUGCUUAUGUGUCUGUCCACAGAGAUUAUUGUUCCUGUUGUUAAAACAAAAUAGCUUUUCACUUAGCUACUGACUUUGAACUAAGCAAUAAAAAUGUUUUCUGCACAUUAUGUUCAUUGAAUCUCAGAAUAAGCUUGUUGAAGUGGGGGCUUUGUCGUUGUUUGUGGAGGCAUUGCUGUGCAUGUUAAUAAUGUACUGGUUUUGGUCACUUUCUUAACUGGUAAACUGAGACACUGAGCAAGCUAAAUUGGUUAGCAAGUCAGGAGGGAGCAGCAAAUAGGUACUGGGAAGUGUGCACUCCAAAUACCCCACUAAACUGUGACUUCCUUGCAGUAUGAACUGUGAUUUGCAUCUUUCCUUCUCUCUACUUAGCACUUCAAUGGGAUGUGACAUGUUUCUACAGAACAGGGAAGAGCAGAGGUUAUAAUUUAAAAAGUGGAGUGGGUAAUAUUUGCAGAACCAGGUUAUUCAACCCCUGGAUGAAGAUUGUCCGGUCAGAUGAGCCUAAUUUAUGCAGAAAGGAAGGUGUGUUAUUUGCUGAAAGGUCUGCUCUUUGCUAUCAAGCUUGAUGGAUGGAUUAAGGGAAAAGGAAGAAUUUCAUUAAAGGCACAUUUCAAAGUCAGCAAAAGGGAUGCAUCCCUACAAAUAUUUCCACUAAACACAAGGCAAUCCAUAAUGCCACUGAAUCUGGAUCUGAGUUCUGUUUUCUCCUAUGUGUACCAAAUGGUAAAACUUUUUCCAUUCUUUUAAUGCUAGCCUAAUAUUUAGCCAUUGCCAAGUACCAUAUUUUCCUCUCCUACAAAUAAAUUAAUAAAACCCACAUCCAUUUAUGCAGUUACUCUCAUUACUGCAUACACUAAACCUAAGGAUUCUGAAAACAAGUUUAUCAGUCUUGUAUUUCUUGCAUGAGUUCAGUAGGGUUGUGUCUUUCCUUCUCUUACAAAGAAUUCAAGCAUUUUUGUUAGGGACUGGCAGGUGAUUUACCAUUUUUCUCUGAAAUGAACUAAGAUAGGCUGAAAUUCUUUUGCAACUACUGUCUUUCUCCUACUUCUGCUUUUAUGCUGCUUCUCUCUUCUGCCCUAUUUUUGGAAUCUGCAUUCCAUCUCCCUCUUUCUCAGCCAUACAGGGUCACACAAAUAAAAGCUGGCAAAGAUAGACUAUUUGGGGAAUGUGAUAGAGAGGAAGAGAAUCAAAUUUGGAGGAAUGCAAACCAAGGAUCUACUGCUAAUUUCCCAGGUUUUAUUCCAUACUUCAACCAUAACACCUUUUUGUAGCUUCAGGGUACCACUAGAAUGCAACUGUGCAGUAGCAGCACCUUCAGUUUCUUAGCUUCAUUUUCUUUAACAACAAACUAUCAUAUUCUUAAAAAGCACCAGUUUUGAUCAUGUUGUGUAUCUGUGAUUUGGGAAGAGAAAGGUAUGUCAAGGUUAAACAUACUAAUAUCAGGUAGACAGGUGAAGGAGUUUUUCUCUAGCAGACUUGCCUUGAAAAGAGCCAAGCACCGUGUUAUUCACAUUCUAAGAAGGGACUACAAAAAAGAGCUAAAGCUCUAACAGUAGAUCACCUUUUUCUUGUGGGUAUUAAUGUUCCUAAUAUUGGAAAGACUGCAAGCCAGCCUUUGAAUGAGAAGCCCCAUAUGCUUUUUCAUGCAUUGUUUUAUUAGCGUAUGUAAGCGGUGACCUGUGGCAGCUCUGUCCUACUGAAGUGCUGAACCACCCAUCGUAUUCCACCAGGACGCUGUGCACGACCUGCAGCACUGUGAUGUUCCAUGGAGACAAAAGUAUAAAAAGCAGAUACAGUAAGUGGCCACAGUGCUGCUGUUUUCACAGAGGAAAAAAUAAUCUGAGCUGUGGGGGGUUAGUUUGAAGAGAAAAAAUAAUUUUUUCACCAUGAUUUACCUUUGUCAGACAAAGCCAUAGGGCAUAGUAGAGUGAAGUCAAAAUGCAGGGAGGCAGUACUUUCUCUUGCUGCA
Non-coding RNA from Anas platyrhynchos (mallard), 5246 nucleotides. The record is from RefSeq and is a predicted model, not a curated record. NCBI's taxonomy places the organism in Eukaryota, Metazoa, Chordata, Aves, Anseriformes, Anatidae.